AUUGAACGCUGGCGGAAUGCUUUACACAUGCAAGUCGAACGGCAGCACGGACUUCGGUCUGGUGGCGAGUGACGAACGGGUGAGUAGUGUAUCGGAACGUGCCCAGUCGUGGGGGAUAACGUAGUGAAAAUUACGCUAAUACCGCAUACGAUCUAAGGAUGAAAGCGGGGGAUCGCAAGACCUCGCGCGAUUGGAGCGGCCGAUAUCAGAGUAGGUAGUUGGUGGGGUAAAGGCCCACCAAGCCAACGAUCUGUAGCUGGUCUGAGAGGACGACCAGCCACACUGGAACUGAGACACGGUCCAGACUCCUACGGGAGGCAGCAGUGGGGAAUUUUGGACAAUGGGCGAAAGCCUGAUCCAGCCAUUCCGCGUGCAGGAUGAAGGCCCUCGGGUUGUAAACUGCUUUUGUACAGAACGAAAAGGUUUCUACUAAUACUAGGAGCUCAUGACGGUACUGUAAGAAUAAGCACCGGCUAACUACGUGCCAGCCGCCGCCGUAA
This 500-nucleotide ribosomal RNA is filed under the name uncultured bacterium. Its description in RNAcentral is "partial 16S ribosomal RNA". It matches the Rfam family "Bacterial small subunit ribosomal RNA", at positions 30 to 523 of the family's 1533-position model. The record is from RNAcentral.